CGCCGACCCUGGGCCGCGGGUUCGAGACUCCCCCGGGGCACCGCCCGCGCUGCCCUUCCAAAACACACCUCCGGUACCAAAACUAGACCCAGAACGACUCAAGGUCAGCCGAGUCUCACACUCCAUGUGACCACAUCCACCUCAGACAGCACAGUAGCUUAAGGAACUCAGCCCUGUGCAACAUUCACACCCAAACCUUGGGCCUCUAAUCCCUGAACACACUCACGGGCUGGUCUGGAUCCUGCCCAGCUGGAAAACUGAGUCAGCCUCGCACCAAGAACAGAUUUAGCAGCAAGAUCUCUGUACUACAUGGAGGAGGGGCAGCAGAACAGCUAUUCCUUCUCACCAGGAUUUGCAUCUUCAGCCUCACAAGCCACAUCAGACACAGUUAAAUCAUAUCCUGCAGACACAGUGAAGCUGCAUUUUCCAAACUCCAAAGGACACCAUGUGUGAGCAAGAAACUGCAGGAGCAAUUUGUUGCAGAUAAGGAAUAACCACCAUGCACAAGGAGGAGCAGCACAACUCACACCACUGAAGAGAUGACAUGGAACCAGCUCCACAAAGCCAGAGCCUCCUGACUCCUCAGUCAUGAUGGAUACCACGGAAAUGUUCUGGAAACACACUGCCAAUACUUAAUUCUCUCACAAAUAGUAUUGCUUAACCAUCACCAAACCUCGGGCAAGCAACUGAUGGGGAGAUCACAGUUUAAAAAGCUGUGAUGGAAGAGUGUUUGGGGGAAUGUUUUAAAAAAAUAUUAUUAUUUUUUUAAAGGAAGCUCCGAAAGGAAGUGAAUGAGGAGAUCUGUUUAAAACAAAAAUAAAGGAACCCAAGCAGUACAUAAACACAAUACAUAAACAGGAUGGCAUAAACAGGGGGAAAAAAUGAAGUGGUGAUAUUGGAGAACGUGAUCUACCACAGAAACCUUCUCUCACUGCUCCAGGCGAGGAUUAUUGACUACAAAUAGGUCAUCCCUGAACAGCGACUGUGGAGUCCUUCCAAACACAACCACAACUCACAGCCCAGCACAAUCACCACAUUUACAUCACAAAACACGAGCAGAUUAAAAAAAAAAAACACACCAAACAACAAAAACACAAAACCCAACCCCUUCCUAUCCUGACUUGGGGAUUUUAAAUAUUUUAAAGGGAGACUCCAGUCUCCGGUUACAUAAUUGCCCUGCCCGGGUGGCUGCAGCGCUGCCUGCCAGCCCUCCCUGCGAGGAGAAAAGCUGCAGGGCUGCAAACUGGCAACUCGGGGUUUAAAUUUUAAGCUACCAGCGAGCACGUUCUCUGACAGAGACAUUUAAGUGUCCAUUAAAAGAGGCGGAUUCUUCACAAACUGACCUCCUGCCGCCCGGAAGCAGCUGUGACAGAGUAACCAGCCUUUUACAUAACUGGGAGCUGAUGGGUGGGAGAGAAAUCCCUGAGAAAAUCUGCAUGUCUGAGGUAGCACUGAGGCACAAAGGGAACGAAGCAACCUCUACACAGUACUACAAACCCUUCUCUUUCCAAAAUUAUUCCAGUAUUUCAUCAAACCCAUUCCUAACUAUCAGCAGUAAUUCCCGAGUUUCACACAAGAGCCCUCCAUAAGCCUAUUUUCAGUCUAAAUAGGCCUGUUCCUUCUUACCAACUAUUCAGUUCCUCUCUAAUUACCUACUUACUACUGGUAAUACAAACUCCAGGUUCCAGCUCCAAACCCCUUACACACAGGCUGCCUCUGUCCCCAGCAGCUUGGAGCCCAACAAAGGAAUGUCCUUAACUCCAGAGGACAAAGCAAACUCCUAUCUAUGGUAACAUCAAAUUUCAGGGAGUGAGGUUUCACUACAUGAAUUUACUUUCACUUCCCUCAAAAAGCGGAUGUCCCGUGGUGUCUGUGUGAAACCGAGGGCUGAGGGUGUGUGAGAUUUCCAGCAGCCAACCCCAUUCCAAAGGGGUCACGCGCCAAACCCUCACGUGACGUUCAAUUCGCAUCCUGAAAUGCUCAAGAAUGAACAAACCCAGGAGACAGUGCACAAAAACCAGUGUGAACCUCCCAGGAUCGGCCAACCAGCGGGGCUGCACGUUAUUCCCAAGGUGUCCCCAGGGAUGAGCGUGUCACCCGUCUGAUCCACUGGCAGCAGUUUCAUAACCUGCCCUCGAGCGCCCGGCUGCUGCUUCAACUGUUACACUUUGAUUUCUCAACCCAUUAUCCACCCUCAGUCUCCCAGGCCUUUAUUUUACAGCCCGAGCUAUAAAAACAUUUCACUCUUGUUUUUUGAUCCUUGUCAUGAAUUAAUUUAAAAAUAGUUCUAAUUUUUACCCAGUGCAAUAUCCUCCUAAACGACGACAGCUCACCCCAAGAACCCUGGUGCUUGUAUGUUUUUUGGACUGCGUGGGUCUACAGUUUUAUCCUAAGCUUUAAAGUGCUGCUUUUCUCCCAGCUGCAGUUUAAAUCUUCUCUAAAAGCCAAAUCUAAAAAUGGAGAUCACACAAAGCAGUAUUUAUGUACAGCCCAGAUGAAAGGUUACUCCUCUUCUCUCCUUCACAGCAUCUCUCUCGGGCAUUUAGUGCUGAUUUGCUUCUCUGACCAAAGAUCCUUUAAUCAAAGGAACACAGAUCCUCAAUUACACAUCUCAGAUAAUCAGACAUUUCAUUCCUUUCUCCCUGAGAAAGUUUCCACCCAAGCUGACCUUGUCCCUAUGAUCACACACCAGGACAGAACAUCAGCUCCACAAUUCCCACCAAUGAAGCAGCAAAAGCUGUUUCUGAAGAGUUUAUAACCACUACGAAAGUUUCAUUCUGCAGCUCGAUGUUUGAAUGUAAGCACUCCAAAAAGGAUUAUGGCACUUGCAAAGCCCUCAGUGGACUUCCAGAGUCUUCGUAUCUGCUGAUAAGAACAGUUUAGACACAUUUCUUCCAGAACUAACCUCCACAAGGAAUGACAUUUUCAGCGUUGCUACUUUGGCUGAGCAAGCCCCAGAGGACGUGUCAGCCAAGAGCAACAUCACCACCUCAGGUACCACGUUCUUCCCUCCCAAGAUGUGCAUUUUGGGUUCAGUAAUCGAGAAAGGCUUUAGGACAGCGCUGCAUCAGCCACUGGCAAAGAUCAAUGGUUGCACUGCUCGAGCUACAGUCACGAGGUGACAGAACUGUCCCAAGAGGCCCUUCCUAAAAGGUACCACUUUCUAUAAAAACCACCCAAACCACAGCUGUGGGGACUGAAAGCACAGUGCCCCUCACUGCGGAACGAGCACAAGCACCCUCGAAACACUCCACUCUCAAACAACACUUAAACCACAUCCAUUUGUGCCAUUGGAGCGUUAUAAAUAAUUCAGGAGUCCUAAAUUUCCAAUCUUGUGCUCCAUAACAAACCAACGACAAAAUAAUCUGCCAGUGACUCCUCUGGCUUUCACAAAGAGCUCGGUGUGAUGAGCUCCCUUUUUAACUGGGGUUUUCAGCCGCCGCUGUACAUUUCUAGCCUACUGUAUUUUUGUAAAAACCCACGUACGUCAGCAUUGUGACAAAAUAACCUGUAAACUGCUAAAAGGCUCAGAGCCCGCGGGAGGUGUGGGGGGUGUCACAGGCCCCUCUCCGCCCGGGUCCGCGCUCGCAGCUGCUCACCAGGGGUCGAGACCCCGCGAUCCCCUCAGAGCCCCCCCACCCCCGGGGGGGGACACUCACCGUCAUUCCCGCCCAGCCCGCUCCGCAGGGCCCGGCCGUCCUCGCGGGGCCCGCUCACCGCGGCCGGAGCGGCAGGGCCGGGGCCCGGCAGCCGCGCGGGGGAUGAGCCCGGCGGCCGCCCGCCCGCCGCCGCCCCCCUGCCUUUCCUCCUGAAGAAGGACAUAGCGCCGGGGAGGGGGGGCUCGGCGGCCGGCGGGCCGGGGGAAGGCGGGAGGCAGGGAGGGCGCGGGCCGGUCCCUAUGAAUGGGGCUCCUGCCCCCGCCCGCCGCCACCGCUCCCUCCGCCUCUUCCUCCCGCGGCGGCGCCCGCGGCCGCCAUGUUGUCAACAACCGCCCCGCGCCCACUUCCGCCCAGCGCGGCCGCGCGGCACGGCGGGACGUGCCCGCACUCAACAUGGCCGCCGCGGCGUCGGGCGAGACGACCAAUAGGGAGAUGGCUCGCGGCGGCCAUGUUGGGUGAGGGCAAGCAGCCCGCGAGGGUCCACAGCGGUGAGGGAGGGGAGGCGGCCAUCUUUGAUCAGGGCUAGGGGCGCUGGGCCGGGGGAGGCGGGGGCUGCCAUCUUGGUUGAGGGCACAGGUGACCUGGGGACGCUGCGGCAGCUCGGGCGCGUCCCGUGGGCGCGGGUGACAGCGAGCCCUGAGGGCAGGGGACAGUGGUCCUGAGGGCAGUGGACAAUGGUCCUGAGGGCAGGGGAGAGCCCUGAGGGCAGGGGACAGUGAUCCUGAGGGCUGGGGACAAUGGCCCUGAGGGGAGGUGACAGCGGGCAAGUGUCAUAGCAGGGCCACGAGAGCCAAUUGCCCUGCAAAGAAUCUGGAGACCUCUGAGAUGUGGCCCAAAAUGUCCCCUUUGGCCACAGAGGCUGCAGCAGAGGGGACGGACACAAGGACGGAUGGCCAGCCCUGGCCCCCAUCCGACCCCUGCCCAGGGUCUGUGGGCUCUGCAGCCCCAGCUCUGGUCCCUCAUGCCAAGGGCACAUCGUGGCCCCGGUCGGUGCCUCGUUUGCUGCAGGAAUGUGGCAGCUCCGUCAUUCCAUCCCAAACCACCCAGACACACCAGAAAUCCCUGCCAGGCUGCAUAGCGCCCGUCAGGACGUGGGGACACUGCUGGGUCCUGGCAAUUGCUGUCUGAUAAGUCAGUUCCGUCUGCGUCCUGGAUCCUGCCACAAAAAUCCUCUUAAUUAUCCUCCCGAGGCAAAUCUGCUCUUUCCUCAGCCACCAAGGACAUUUGUCAUUAUAACUCAGCACUCAGGUUGAUCUCUGAGGAGCAGAGCUCUCAUAUAAAUGCUUUGCAAACACUGCAUAAAGACUGUUAUUAUAAAUUCUGGUUUGUGUAUGAGGAAACUGAGACACGGACCCAGAGAGCAGCUCUCCCCAAACCAUACAGCUCCACCUGAUCCGUGCAGCAAACCAUCCAGCCUUUUCCUGGGAAUCUGCCGUGAGUGCCAUGAACUCCAGCAAUGGUGAGAAGGGAGAGACACAAACUGAGUCGCUUUCCUGUGGGAUUUAGUGCUCCAUACCAGGCAGGAAUUACCUUUCCAAGCAUACAACUCUCAGCCCAGUUCCUCUGCGAGGUGUUUUAUGCCAUGACAUUUCUGGGCUCGAUCCCCAGGACCUUGUUCCAUGGGCCCAAUUAACAAAACACCAUGAGAAUCCCAAAACAAUCCCUGCAGGAGGUGCAGGGAUCACAGGAGGCAGCUGCAGCUCUUCCUCUGCCAUCCCCGUGUCACCCCUCUGCCAUGUAACUGUCCUGCCCUCAGUGCUUGAGCCACGAGAAAAUGAUGUGAUUAAUAAUCAUUACGAAAGUUCCUGCACCAUCUUUCACCCAAGUGUUGCAAAGCUCUUUACAAACACUCAGUAAUUAACACUCAUAAAUUGUAAAUUGCAUAAAAGGUACAUGGGGAUCUUCCAGGGCUGGUCUGGAGCCGUCUCUUGGGCAGGAUAGUGCAGCUGAUCAACACCCUGUAGCAACUGCAUUUUCUCUUUUGAUAUUAUUUUUGUUAACUGAUGCUCUUUGAUACAGUUUUGUACACAUGCCCAGAGGCUGGUUGGGGGAUAAUGAACUAUCCUAUAUGGUUUCUGCAUAAUGAAUGGAGUUAUUUAAUUGGCACAUAACCUAAGAGACUGCUAGUAGACUAAAACAUUCAAAACAUGAGCAAAUAGGAAAGAAUGGGAUGACUCAGGGAACACUGAAUUAACAGCCUCUGUCAAAGAAAUUUGCACCCACUCCUCUUGGGUUUCAAUGCUGGGGUUGAAGAAGAAUGCAGUGAUUUACAUCCUUUUCCAUGGGUGAAUUGCAGGCAUUGCUCAUCCCACUUGGUGAGGAAAACCUUCUAUGUAACCUUCUAUGUUGCAACUCAUUUUCAAACAGCAGCUCCUUUUCCAAAAACCUCAUCCAACCUGUCAGAGUCUUUGGGAUAAUUCAAUUUUCUUUGCAUCAGAUUCUGGAUAACUGAGGAAACCUCAAGAUAUGAGGGUCUGACAUGAAUUACCUUUCCUGGAUUAAAAUUUUCUCCCUUUUCUGGGAAUAUGGAGAAGGGCUGAAGCUCCAAUCUGCAGUUGGUCACUGGAGAUCUGAACUGGAAGAGUGAGUGACAGCAGGUUCCGGAGUCUUUAACAGCACGUGAGAGUUUAAUUGUCUGAGCAAUCAGCUGAAACAUGACUUCAGGACAUGGGUUGGCCAAUGUCAGAGAAGCUGAGGGACUCCUCCCUGAAUUAAAAUAUUCAAAUAAAAAAAAAAGCCUCCCUGCCUGGUGAUUUUUCCCUCUCCACAGCUAGAAAAAUAAACAAACUUUAAUAAGA
This is a long non-coding RNA of Pseudopipra pipra, 6457 nucleotides long. RefSeq lists it as uncharacterized. The transcript is spliced from 3 exons. The record is from RefSeq and is a predicted model, not a curated record. Lineage: Eukaryota; Metazoa; Chordata; Aves; Passeriformes; Pipridae.